Molecule: long non-coding RNA, 1940 nt
Organism: Magnolia sinica
Lineage: Eukaryota; Viridiplantae; Streptophyta; Magnoliopsida; Magnoliales; Magnoliaceae
Exons: 3
Source: RefSeq, a predicted model, not a curated record
UAAUGCUAAUUGUGCCAAAAAUGUCAAGUAUGUUAAGAUUGGUAUUCUACAUGUGAUUGUGUAUGCUUGCUUGUGAGGAAUUUCAGGUUUAAUUUGUAAUAAUUGUCUGCAUCUCAUUUUAUCAUUUGCAAUCCUGUUCCAGUACAUAAAGUUGAAAAUUACUUGUGUUGCUUAUGCCUCAAAUGCUUGCUAAAUUCAUCAUUUUGACAGUGUUGCGUUCCAUUUUCUUCCUCGUUCUAUAAUAUGUAUACAAAGAAUAAAGUGGCUUUUGAAAUGGGAGAGGAAUUCUUGGAAUGUCACUUCUCAAUUUGUUAUUUGCGUAUCUACUUCUAGCGUUGGUUCAUAUAAAUGCACAGCCACACCCACUUGUUACUAUUUAUAGGGAAAUUGAAGUUGCUUGUAUUUGAUAUAAAUUUCCAAUUUCAAUAUUGUUAUCCAUAUGGUUGUUAAUGAGUUGGGCCUGGGUUGCCUUUGGCGUGGAUUUUGAAUUGAUUGGAUUUCAUCCUCAUGGGCCUAAGUCAUGGACUUGACUAAAUUUACGGUAAUCUUGUACAUUACAGAGAUUUUGCACAAAUAAAUCAAAUUCCAUUUUAGAGCAUUGUGGGAUCAUAGAUAGAAGUUGGUCUUAUGAUUAUAUAAAUUUUUAAUUGAUAUUUUAUCAUUUGAAGUAUGAAUGUAUUCAACUUUUGAGUUUUUUUUUUUAAAAAUCAAAGAUCUAUUUGAUUGCUAUUGUACCUUUUCUCUCGAUGUAUCUACCCACAGACUAAAAUUUCAACACUAAAGAAAUGCUUCAACCAAGAAUGUUCUUAGAUAAAACCAUGCUAUUGGUCCUCUGCUACGCUCUCAUUUCUCCCAUUUGUAAAUCAAGGACUGGUGUGGUUUUUUGCGUAGAGAAUGCCUUGUCUCAAUCCAGUGUAUGUAAACAGGACGUGAACUACCUAACUGCCCUUGCUACUUCGACUCUGUCUGGUGACCCGAAAGAGUAUGUAACAGGCCUUGUUUCAUAUUAAUGAUGAUUAUAGAUGCAAAAAACUGGAAAGGAGAAACAUGUUACAAUUUCUGUUGAUGAUGGAACUCGACCGAACACAUCAUUGUUUGAUUUAGCAAAAGCUCAAACAUGCAUUUAAGGAGGGUGGAUUUCAACAGAUUGUUGAGGCCCAUGAUUUUAACAGUCUGAUUCAAGUAACCAAUUUUCCACACACAUUACCAGAGUAUCAAAGUUCUUGUCCAAUUAGUUAUUAAAGUUGACCCUUUUUUUCCCCAAUUUUUCUAAUUUAUUAAAAGAUUGUGCUAAAAGUUGUACCAUCUUUUUUCCUGUCUGACAGAGAUCACAGUCAUGGCGGAAGGCAAUAAAUUACAGGUAUGGGUGAUGUAUUGCUAAGUAUCGUGAAUGUAUCAAUAUCGCCAAUAUUUUUUACUGUGUAAAUUCUAGGUGUUGAUGGGAUUCAUCUGCUAGAUUGUGAGCAAUCAGAGUCAUUACCCACAUAUAGGGAUUUAUCCAAUAACUUGCUAUAUGGAGAUAUUCCGUUCUCAACAUCUAAGCUCAAACAGCUUGCUAUAUGGAGAUAUUCUAGUACCUUACUAUGUAGGACCUUGAAAUGAAACCCACCUUUGUUCCUAAGUCUGUCAAGGCUAUUGCCAUGUUAUUCUUGGCAAUCUCAAAUUUUAGAGACACUGUUAAACACCUGACAUAGCAGAACAUCCAUCACUAAAGAUAAAUAUCAAUCAAAAUGCAUCAAGAGUCAUGCACUGUUUACGACUACAAAUAUGAGAGCAGAUAAGCAGUGGACUAGCUCUCGUAGCAAGCAAUAGCUGAUUUCAAGUCCUUAUGGUUUUUAUAUAUAAUACCCAUGUUACAAUAUGCUUCGGCAUACAUAGGCCUUUGUCAUGCAGCUUUCUCAUAGCAGGUAAGAGCCAAAUCAUAUUGUAGCAUCUCAUAA